GGCCACCUUAGCUCAGUUGGUAGAGCAGCGCCUUCGUAACGCGCAGGUCAGCGGUUCGAUUCCGCUAGGUGGCUCGUA
RNAcentral lists this transfer RNA (78 nucleotides) under Mycobacterium phage CELFI. Its description in RNAcentral is "tRNA-Thr". It matches the Rfam family "tRNA". From Rfam's summary of the family: Transfer RNA (tRNA) molecules are approximately 80 nucleotides in length. Lineage: Duplodnaviria; Heunggongvirae; Uroviricota; Caudoviricetes; Vilmaviridae. The record is from RNAcentral.